GGAGGCUUGAUGAGGAGGAAGUGUUCUUUUUUGUGUGUCUCGUCUUUUUUUGUUGGAAAGAAGAUGUCUUGGACUUGCUAUGGUUUGUGCCUUGAAUGAGCCACAAGUUGGGAUUACGGUCAUUUGACUGGUGAGAAAAGCUUCAAAGAUUGGGAAAGAUUGAGUGAUUAACCAUUGACUGCUGCUAGGAAUACAAACAGAGAAUUUAAUUGAACAGUGGAUUCUUUUCUCAUAAGGUAAGAAUAAUCUUUGAUAUUCUGUUCACUUUAAUCUUCAGGCAUUUUCACUUUUAGUUCUACAGGUAAAUUGAUCUCUUGUGCACAAUACAUUUCCCCUACUUCAGAUUUAUCUUCUGAUAUUUGCCGUAUGGAUACCGGUACUGUCCCAAGUGCCAGAAGGGCAUUAUUAUACUUAAGUAAAAAAUGAUGUGAGUCUGUUUCCAUCAGGAUCUCAGCAGAUUUUUUUUGGUGUAUUUCUAGUGAGUGUGAAAUAUUCUACGGUCAUCGAUACAACGUUAUCAAUGUCAGUGUCUUACUUUUUCACUUUGUAAGAAUUAUAUUUAUAUGAUAGGCAAUAACAUUUUUUUUUACAAAGCACAUGAAUUAUCCACAUCUUGGUCAAUGUCCAGUUAGUGACUUUACAUUACAUGUAUGGAUGUGUAAAAGGGGCCAUUUAGCUAUUGCCCCAUCUGAAUUUCAUAAAAAUAUCAUAAUAUGGUACACUUGAGAGUGGUCCACUCAUCAAAAAUAACUGUGACACUUAUCAAAGUUUGAUUAAACAACUGAAUCACUGUCACUCUAGCACUUCCAACACACGCAUGCCCUUCAAAAGCUGAAGUAUUGGAACUCUUUGCCCCAAAAUGGUAAAUCUUCUACCUAUUUUUGGCUGGCUGGCCGGGGGUGGACAGGCGUCCCUCAUCUAAAUAUUGACAUUGGGCCAAGGCAAGCAUGUUAAUGCAGUUGGACACAGAUUUAUGCAGGAUAGUGGGGCAUCAAUGUCAUAUGAGGGCUCAGGAAUAAUAAUAUGCACAUAUAGGCCUAAACCCUAUAUAUAGAGAAAGCUCAAUUUAGAUGGUGGUGAUUGUUGACAACUAAAUAGGGUCAACACUUUGGUCUAGAAAUACACUUGUGAGUCCGUCUGUCUGUCCGUCUGUCUGUCCGUCAGGCACAUUUGUUUUACUUUUUUCUUGAAUACAGUAAGAGCACAAGCUCUCAUAACAUUACAGUUUUGCUAAUUUAUAUAGCAGUCACAAAGCAAGGAACUAUCACAAAUUGGAGAAGAAAAAACAUCAGUGUUGUGCCAAUUUCGUGACACAAAACUUUUGCCGAUCUUAAUCGUUUGCAAAAUUUGUAAAAAUAUCAUGAGUUCAAAGUUUCAGGUUGUAUAGUAUAGGGAUUAUUUAUGAGAAUGAGGUAGAAUCUGCAGGAGUUUAUGGAGAGGUUGUAUAGGCCUGAAGAAAAAAAAAGAAGACGAUAUCGGAUAAAAGUACAAGCACUUGGAAAUCUGAGCAUG
Molecule: long non-coding RNA, 1512 nt
Organism: Strongylocentrotus purpuratus (purple sea urchin)
Lineage: Eukaryota; Metazoa; Echinodermata; Echinoidea; Camarodonta; Strongylocentrotidae
Exons: 2
Source: RefSeq, a predicted model, not a curated record